RNAcentral lists this ribosomal RNA (397 nucleotides) under uncultured organism. Its description in RNAcentral is "bacterial LSU rRNA". It matches the Rfam family "Bacterial large subunit ribosomal RNA", at positions 2086 to 2486 of the family's 2925-position model. The record is from RNAcentral.
GGUAGGUCUUAUAGACUCCCGACUGCAUGGGUUCGGGCUCUUCUUGCGCAGCCUAGGUGGGAGGCUAUGAAGGUAAACUCUUGGGUUUACUGGAGCCAUCAGUGAGAGACCACUCUGGAGGAGCUAGAAUUCUAAUGGCGUUCCUUGAAGCAGGACGCUUGACAGUUUCAGGCGGGCAGUUUGACUGGGGCGGUCACCUCCUAAAAGGUAACGGAGGUGUGCAAAGGUUCCCUCAGGCUGGACGGAAAUCAGCCGUAGAGUGUAAAGGCAGAAGGGAGCUUGACUGCAAGACCUACAAGUCGAGCAGGGGCGAAAGCCGGCCUUAGUGAUCCGACGGUUCCGUGUGGAAGGGCCGUCGCUAAACGGAUAAAAGUUACUCUAGGGAUAACAGGCUGAA